CUGCUGCCUUCCGUAGGAGUUUGGGCCGUGUCUCAGUCCCAAUGUGGCCGGUUCACCCUCUCAGGCCGGCUACUGAUCGUUGCCUUGGUAGGCCAUUACCCCACCAACUAGCUAAUCAGACGCGGAACCAUCGUAUACCACCAGAGUUUUUCACACCGCUUCAUGCGAAGCUGUGCGCUUAUGCGGUAUUAGCACCUAUUUCUAAGUGUUAUCCCCCAGUAUACGGCAGGUUUUCCACGCGUUACUCACCCGUCCGCCA
Molecule: ribosomal RNA, 259 nt
Filed under: uncultured bacterium
Lineage: Bacteria
Description: partial 16S ribosomal RNA
Source: RNAcentral